CCCCCACAAUAUCUUCACUGAAGAGAAGGAUUGCAGUUCUGGUUGCAAAAUGCAACCGGCUGUGCGCCUUCAACAACUUCUCAUUUUGUUGAUUAUUUAUUCAUCUAAAGUUGUGAUAUCAUCGCCUAAUGGUACAUAUUCUGAGAAUAUGAAUAAAAUGAGGCAAUAAUCAUUCUGGAAUGGUAGCUUACUACCCACAAAAGCUGGCGAGAGUGGAAUUAGCCAUGUAAGUUGAAGGUUGUCUACACAAUUGUUAGAUUUGAUGCAUUAUAUAUACAUAUAAAAUAGAUUUGGUUAUUUGUAAUGAAAGGGAUGCAUAUUUAUGGAUUUGUAUUGACUUUAAUAGACCACACUUUAUUUUGAUUUACUAACAAGGGAGAAGCUUGUUGCUAAAUUUCUCUGUUUUGAUUGUAUACCUGAGUUUAUUUGUGCAUUCUCUUCCAUUUUUGCGACUCUUCUUAUCUUCCUUUCACAAAGCCAAGGAUCUUCUCUGCACAAACACACUAAAUUAAUUACGGUAGAAGGCUUUUUCUUACAAAGGUAAAAUAGAGAAUUGGCAUAAAAAGAAUAUUGAAUUUUCCCUCCUUCAAUCAUGUUUUUUUGCCUCAUGAAAAUAAUAAAAUACAUUACCCGGUUGAUUUUAUGUUACUCGGUUAAUUUAGAAACCACUUAUGGAGUUGCCUAUAUACACCUUGUAUUGUAAGUAUACGUUGUGAAGUGUGUUAUUAACCGUUGUCUCAUUUUUCCGCAGUAUGCUCUUUUUGAGUCAACCACAAACUCUCAAACCGUUCUUUUCGGUGCUAUGGGAACAUUUGAUGUAUGUGGUUUGUGAAAUUUCAAUACUCAAACAAGCUCAUCACAAAUAUG
Molecule: long non-coding RNA, 867 nt
Filed under: Triticum aestivum (bread wheat)
Lineage: Eukaryota; Viridiplantae; Streptophyta; Magnoliopsida; Poales; Poaceae
Description: long non-coding RNA (TAES_LNC014352)
Source: RNAcentral